AUGACUGCUAUUCUCGGCACUCUCUGGUUCGAUCUUCUCAAAACUAGACACUUCCUUGCUGGUAAUCCCAUGUUCGCUACGGCGUCUCGUGGGUCACAGUUUUGGAAAGACCUGGUUAGGGUGAGGGAUCUGUUUCUUGAGCAUGUCAAGUUCGUGGUCAAGAAUGGUGCCUCUACUCUUUUUUGGUUGGAUUGGUGGUCCGGCGAUUCCUCGCUUGGGUCUUCUUUUCCGGUUUUGAUUUCUUAUUGCUCUAACCUGGAGAUCUCAAUCUCUGAGCUCCCUCGUAAUAAUUGGGACUUGGGCUUCCAGAGAUCUCUUUCUCCCGAAGAGUUGGGGGAUUGGCACCGUCUUGCUGCUUUGUUUCCUGUUCUCUCGAAGGAGGAGGACUCCGUGUCCUGGCCUCAUGUCGCGUCUCGGAAGUUUUCUGUCAAGUCAUUGUAUGCUAGGAUUAUUUCUGGUACUCCUUCCUCCAAGUUUAAGCAAAUUUGGGCUGCCAGGAUCCCCCCCAAGAUCAAGAUUUUUCUUUGGCAAGCCUUUAGGGGGCGGUUGCCUUCCCGGGAUCAGAUUUGGAAAAGGAAUGACCCCGGCUCGGCUUACUGUGCUUUAUGUUCUGCCCUGGAAGACACUAAUCAUAUUUUCUUUGGAUGUGCUUUGGCCAAGUUGUUGUGGGGGUGUGUUCGUUCCUGGCGGAACACCUCAUGGGCCCCCGGCUUGUUCUCAGACAUGCGUCUGUUGAUGGCUAACUUACAGGGACGGUCCAGGAGGCUGUUUUGGAUUGGGCCGGGUGCUCUUUGCUGGUCCUUAUGGACUACCAGAAACAAAUUCACCAUUGAGGGUGCUUUUUCUAAUAAGCCUGCUGAUGUCCUGUUUAAAAUGUCUAUCUUCUUGUAG
Molecule: ribosomal RNA, 891 nt
Filed under: Triticum aestivum (bread wheat)
Lineage: Eukaryota; Viridiplantae; Streptophyta; Magnoliopsida; Poales; Poaceae
Description: partial small subunit ribosomal RNA
Source: RNAcentral